Molecule: ribosomal RNA, 780 nt
Filed under: uncultured bacterium
Lineage: Bacteria
Description: bacterial SSU rRNA
Rfam family: Bacterial small subunit ribosomal RNA
Source: RNAcentral
AGAGUUUGAUCCUGGCUCAGAAUCAACGCUGGCGGCAUGCCUAACACAUGCAAGUCGAGCGAGAAAGGGUAGCAAUAUCCGAGUACAGCGGCGCACGGGUGAGUAACACGUGGGUAACCUGCCUCGAAGUGGGGAAUAACACCGGGAAACCGGUGCUAAUACCGCAUAAUCUGACGAGAUCUGCGGAUUUUGUCAGCAAAGGAGCAAUUCGCUUUGAGAGGGGCCCGCGGCUGAUUAGCUAGUUGGUGAGGUAAUGGCUCACCAAGGCAACGAUCAGUAGCCGGUCUGAGAGGACGGUCGGCCACACUGGAACUGAGACACGGUCCAGACUCCUACGGGAGGCAGCAGUGGGGAAUUUUUGGCAAUGGGGGCAACCCUGACCAAGCAAUGCCGCGUGGGUGAUGAAGUCUCUUGGGACGUAAAACCCUUUCGACAGGGACGAAACCGCGAGGUUGACGGUACCUGUAGAAGAAGCCCCGGCUAACUCCGUGCCAGCAGCCGCGGUAAUACGGGGGGGGCAAGCGUUGUUCGGAAUUACUGGGCGUAAAGGGCGCGUAGGCGGCUCACUAAGUCGGAUGUGAAAACUCUGGGCUCAACCCAGAGCCUGCAUCCGAAACUAUUGGGCUAGAGUUCUGGAGGGGAAAGCGGAAUUCCUGGUGUAGCGGUGAAAUGCGUAGAUAUCAGGAGGAACACCGGUGGCGAAGGCGGCUUUCUGGACAGAAACUGACGCUGAGGCGCGAAAGCUAGGGGAGCAAACAGGAUUAGAUACCCUAGUAGUCC